CUGCCCCUGAGUCCUAUCAAGCCAUGUAAACCCCACCUCUUGUUCUAGUUCCUUCCCUGCCUCUCAGCCCUUCCUCGAAGCCGCAUUGGCGUUGUGACUGCCGCCCCUCCCACGUGUUUGUUCCUAUUGGUCCCCAACAUUGUAAACCCUCCCCCAACUCCUCCCCUGAGAUGCCCUGAUUGGUUCCUGUGUUUGUACCCUCCCCACCUUAAAUUGGGGCGCACAGAGGUGUUCAUUGCUCAGUCUGUCCUACCCUCGACCUUUCCAGUCCUUCCCUCAUCCACUGUUCCCGUUCCUGGAAUAAAGCCUGGUUUCUGGAGAGAACCUAGGACUCUGAGCUUCCUCCUUGCCUUCAUCGGGCACCCACGAUGCACCUGAAGCCACAUUUCCUGAGGGCUAACAGGCUCUGAAGGUUCGGUCUGGGACAAACAUCUCCCAGACCGUUCCCCACUCCCGGCGCUGCCAGCGGCUAGGGAGAAGGAGCUAGCCAGGGCAAGGAAAGCCGCGGCAGGGGCAGCGUCAGUGUAUAUUAAUUGUGCUAUGCUAGUGGAAGUCUCAUGUUUAUUCCUUCUUAUAAUUUUGGGAAGGAGCUGGAGGGAGAAGAUAGAUGAAGUGAUGAGUGGUCUUUUCUGGAGGGUGCUGAAUAUGAAGCAAAUUCAUUUGGGUUGCUGCUCACCUGCCUUUGCAUGGAAAUACAGAUACAUAUUAUUCAACGUACCUCAUGUACAUUUCAGCUCUUGCACCCAGCGCUGUGCUAAGCCUCUUGAAAUCAGUUGUCUACCCUUUUCUAUGGAAAUGUGUCUUCCAAAGAGCUGAGCACCCACUCCCUGACAGAGGCUGUGUGCUAAUCAGGUUGUCAUUACAAAGGCCACAGAGGUAACUGUGCAAUUCUCUGCCAAAGUUAACAUGAGGGAUCGCUGCUGGGAAGGGCUGUUGUCCCAGGCAGUCACAGCGCAGUGCCUGCUAGGAAAAAAAAAGCACAGCAAUUUAGUGUGCUGGACAGAAGAAGAUCACACUGAUACAGACUUCUAACAUAAAGAGAGAAUUGGAUGAAAAAUGACUGACUGGACAGACUCCUUUUCAGAUGGAAAGCAGAGAAUGUGUCAAAUGUCUCACCGACAUCACUGAAAAUAUCAUGAGGUCCUUCUGGCAGCUAUUGGAGCAGCCACAGAAACUGGAAUUAUCUCUACAAGCUCUUAUCAGUGAGAUGUUAGGGGACUCUAUGGAUGUUACAAAUUAGCUGACGUAGAAAUAUGUUCGGUUUCUUUAGUCCCUUUUUUAGGAAAUUGGGAAAUAAAGGGGAAUGUAUAGAACA
This 1315-nucleotide long non-coding RNA is filed under the name Parus major (Great Tit). RNAcentral describes it as "lncRNA (ENSPMJG00000002186.1)". Lineage: Eukaryota; Metazoa; Chordata; Aves; Passeriformes; Paridae. The record is from RNAcentral.